Long non-coding RNA from Phalaenopsis equestris, 2813 nucleotides. RefSeq lists it as uncharacterized. The transcript is spliced from 5 exons. The record is from RefSeq and is a predicted model, not a curated record. Lineage: Eukaryota; Viridiplantae; Streptophyta; Magnoliopsida; Asparagales; Orchidaceae.
CGUCGUCAAAAUUAUCUGGACGACCCCGGAUGACGAAACGGACUGCGUCGUUUCGUCCGGAAUGUUAAUUUUAGCCGGUAAGGACACCCACAUUGCUAGUGUUACGCGCGCGCACAAAAGACACAAAAAUCGAUACACAUUUUUUUAAUUAGCAGGGUGUGGGCCCGGGCUCAACCCAGAUUCAACUCGGGUUCAAUUUGGGUUGAAUUCACGCAAAACAAUUUUGAAUUUCAAAAUUUCAAAAUUUAAAAUAAAUCAUUUAGUCUGGCAUUAAUUAAAAGCUAUUAAUGGCCAAAUAAAACUCCUCCCCCAAUGGAAAUUCAUCAAUUACCCCCCCAUUAUCGCAUAACGGACUUUUUGGAAUUCCUUGAAUACAAGAUCCCGCUUAGCUCCUUCCAAGCAUUCGGCCUCCCCUUCCCCACAACCAGAUUCCGGACUUCUAUCUCCCUCACGGGAACUCCUGUGUCGAAGAAAACCCCUCACACCUACUCGUUGCUUCCCGCACCGAAGGCCUUCGCCUACUUUCUUCCUCACACAACCAAACAAUCGCGCGAUUCGCCAUCAUCGCUCGCUCGAAACCCUCGACUUCCCUCUACACCGAAAGCCUUUGUAACUUGCACUGAAACACUCGCCUCCAUCGCGCUUCUCUUUCGAUUCGUGUCUUCCUCUCGCACUGAAACCUCGCCUAGCUUGCUUCUCCCUCCCCGGCUCGACUCUCUUCCUCGCUUGCCCAGAAGGCCUCGCCUCGAUCACUUGGCCUGCUCCCUCUAUCGCAAUCACCCUAUCUCGCCUCCCUCAUCUUUGCGCAGAAGAAACUCCGCUCGCUUCCUCAAUCAGCACCGAAACUCUUGCCUGCUGCUGCGACUCUCCUCGGCACUGAAGCUCACAUACAUUUCUUUUUCUUUUUCUCCUCCAUCGACUCUCCUACCUGUGAGAAAGCCAUUGUUAUUCCGACCACGAGCUAGUUCGUAGCAGGCAUUUUGUUUAACCGAUUUCAGAUAGCAGACCCCGCGUUCAGGGGACUCUAUUGAACACAUCGAAGGUUAAAGAGAAUGUCUCUCGCGCUGAGAGGCACGACACUACUGCAACCACUUCGAACACCCCUCUUGUUGUCCCUCCUCCCAUACGAGCUCCCUCAGAGGCACAAACUCUCCCACCUGCACCAUUUUUCCGUCCAAAUUCCUCAUCUAAUGAGCAAAGCCAUCCGACUCCUACACCUGAUAUGGUUUACUCUGCCGACACAGUCUAAAUUGUGUAGAGGGUGACUCAUAAGUCAACAUUCCUUUUUACUGUGCAUUAAUUUCAAUUUCAUUCCACUUGUUAUUGUAACUAAUAUUUCAAUUACAAGUUCUACACUUACUAGUCGCCCUUGAAGCGGAACAUGGAGAUCAUUCGGAGUCGGUGUGAUAUGUCAUUUGUCUCAUGGAAAUAGAUCCCGAUAGCAACUCGGGACAUGUGGUUUAGGGAGUUCGAGAGGUAAUUUUACUAAUUGUCAGAAAAACAACAGAUCCGGCAGAUUUUUUAGAUUAGUGGCAGACAUUGGCUCGAGGAUAUGUUCAUUACAGCGUCUGGGCUGAUUUAAAAAGAGCAUGGGCCUCCACGGAAUACCAGGGGAAAAGAUAGACAAACAAGUAGGACCGAAUGACCGAAGGAGCCAUAGGGGUCGCACUCCACAUUGGAGGUUCGAUCCUACACACAGAGCGCUACCAAAAACUGGUCAAGGAGCUUAACCAAGAGCCAUCAACUGUAGAGUUGCAUGUCCUAACGCAUCGGCACCCAAGCACACAACAGCGGGCAAUCGAUCACUCUCAGCAUGUCAAUAGAAGUACGAACAACUCCGAAAGAGACUAACCAGACCUCGUCGUCUUCCAGCAGCAGUAGUAGCUAGUCUACCACUGCUCAGUCCGAUUUUAAGUUGUGAAUGUCGGCGACGUGAAAGAAUGAUAGGACAGUGUAUGGCCUAGGAGCAAAAGGAAUAGCAUUUGAGCUCGAGCGCUCUCUUGCAGCUGUGGGUGGCCCAAGCUCGUUACAGACUCAGUAUAAUGAGCUUGUCAAGCGGGGGUCAUGAUGAUGAAUGAAGAGCUACGACAGGGGCAUGAAGGUCAGUAGAUGGCUGUAAAUAGUAUAGCAUGUCUGACGGAGAGUUUUGAUCGUCGAAGCAAGCGACAUAUGAGUGUUGUUUAGGAGGAUGAGGGUGGUCACGAGGAGGAUGAGGAGGGUUAGGAGGAUGAGGAGGGUCAGGAGGAGGAUGAGGAAGAUGAGGAUUUUUAUUACGUUCUUGUUGGUGUUCCUCCAUCAUAGGGGCUGAAUAUAUGUUUUUUUCAUUUAUGAUUAACUGUACUUUCAAUUUAUGUAGUUGUUAACUGUGAACUUGGAACAAUUUCAUAUUUCUAUCUUAUAUUUAAUUUGUUAUUAUUAUUUAGAUGUUGUGGUAGUGAUUUCUUUUAUCAGUUCUGAUGAUAAAUAAAUGUCAUAUUAUGUUUGUGUUAGUUCUGUGCAGGCAUAUGAAAAGUAGUACCUUCUGUUGUAUUUUUUUUUUCUGGCAGGUUUACAUCAGAAUUGCGUCGAACUAUUCUGACGCUAAUAGCUACAAUAAUUUACUCGAUAUUCGGCAACGCUACCUCGAUGAUAGCACAAAUCAACAUCAGGAUAUUGUCGACGAUAAGUAGCGUCAGACGUGCCCAAUGUUGACGCUAAUUUGUGUCGGAUGGGUUCGACGCUAUUGCAUCACUAAUACAACGUCGACCAUAUUUUCGAAGAAAAUUCACAACGAAGGAAUGUGGAGACGCUAAUUCUUACGUAAAUAAAACUAA